RNAcentral lists this ribosomal RNA (482 nucleotides) under uncultured bacterium. RNAcentral's name for it is "partial 16S ribosomal RNA". It matches the Rfam family "Bacterial small subunit ribosomal RNA", at positions 30 to 507 of the family's 1533-position model. The record is from RNAcentral.
AUUGAACGCUGGCGGCAUGCCUUACACAUGCAAGUCGAACGGUAACGGGCCUUCGGGUGCCGACGAGUGGCGAACGGGUGAGUAAUACAUCGGAACGUGCCCGAUCGUGGGGGAUAACGAGGCGAAAGCUUUGCUAAUACCGCAUACGAUCUACGGAUGAAAGCAGGGGACCGCAAGGCCUUGCGCGGACGGAGCGGCCGAUGGCAGAUUAGGUAGUUGGUGGGAUAAAGGCUUACCAAGCCGACGAUCUGUAGCUGGUCUGAGAGGAUGAUCAGCCACACUGGGACUGAGACACGGCCCAGACUCCUACGGGAGGCAGCAGUGGGGAAUUUUGGACAAUGGGCGCAAGCCUGAUCCAGCCAUGCCGCGUGCAGGAUGAAGGCCUUCGGGUUGUAAACUGCUUUUGUACGGAACGAAAAGCCUUCUUUUAAUACAGGAGGGUCAUGACGGUACCGGAAGAAUAAGCACCGGCUAACUACGUG